UGCGCAGGCGGGCUUGUAAGUCAGUGGUGAAAUUCUGCCGCUUAACGGUAGAACUGCCAUUGAUACUGCAAGUCUUGAAUAUGGUUGAGGUAGGCGGAAUGUGUUGUGUAGCGGUGAAAUGCAUAGAUAUGACACAGAACGCCAAUUGCGAAGGCAGCUUACUAAGCCAUUAUUGACGCUGAGGCACUAAAGCGUGGGGAGCGAUCAGGAUUAGAUACCCUGGUAGUCC
Molecule: ribosomal RNA, 229 nt
Filed under: uncultured bacterium
Lineage: Bacteria
Description: partial 16S ribosomal RNA
Rfam family: Bacterial small subunit ribosomal RNA
Source: RNAcentral